GGCAGAGGUGGAACCACAAGAUGUCGGUGCAGUUUCAGGUGCCGAUAGAUCGUUCCCUGCAGCACACGAAGGAAUGGUGAUCCGUCCACAGGAGCCGCUGGCCGUAGAGCAUGUUUGCAGGAGGCGUCAAUGUGCCCCAUAGGAUCAGAGGAGGGGGAUGGCUCCAGCAAGAAGACUGGGAGUAGAAGAAGUCAAGGUUUUGUCUGCAGAGUCCUCCGUCAGUGUUUCAGCAGAAAGGUCCCCCUCAUGUUGCCAAAACAGCUCUGACCCGUCGAGGCAUGGACUCCACAAGACGUCUGAAGGUGUCCCCUGGGAUCUGGUACCAAGACGUUAGCAGCAGAUCCUUUAAGUCCUGUAAGUUGCGAGGUGGGGCCUCCGUGGAUCGGACUUGUUUUUACAACACAUCCCGCAGAUGCUCGAUCGGAUUGAGAUCUGGGGAAUUUGGAGGCCAAGGCAGCACCUUGAACUGUUUGUCAUGUUCCU
Long non-coding RNA from Lampris incognitus (smalleye Pacific opah), 483 nucleotides. RefSeq lists it as uncharacterized. The record is from RefSeq and is a predicted model, not a curated record. The transcript has 3 exons. NCBI's taxonomy places the organism in Eukaryota, Metazoa, Chordata, Actinopteri, Lampriformes, Lampridae.